This 497-nucleotide ribosomal RNA is filed under the name uncultured bacterium. RNAcentral describes it as "partial 16S ribosomal RNA". It matches the Rfam family "Bacterial small subunit ribosomal RNA", at positions 28 to 507 of the family's 1533-position model. The record is from RNAcentral.
GAUGAACGCUGGCGGCGUGCCUAAUACAUGCAAGUCGAGCGAACGGACGAGAAGCUUGCUUUUCUGAUGUUAGCGGCGGACGGGUGAGUAACACGUGGAUAACCUACCUAUAAGACUGGGAUAACUUCGGGAAACCGGAUCUAAUACCGGAUAAUAUUUUGAACCGCAUGGUUCAAAAGUGAAAGACGGUCUUGCUGUCACUUAUAGAUGGAUCCGCGCUGCAUUAGCUAGUUGGUAAGGUAACGGCCUACCAAGGCAACGAUGCAUAGCCGACCUGAGAGGGUGAUCGGCCACACUGGAACUGAGACACGGUCCAGACUCCUACGGGAGGCAGCAGUAGGGAAUCUUCCGCAAUGGGCGAAAGCCUGACGGAGCAACGCCGCGUGAGUGAUGAAGGUCUUCGGAUCGUAAAACUCUGUUAUUAGGGAAGAACAUAUGUGUAAGUAACUGUGCACAUCUUGACGGUACCUAAUCAGAAAGCCACGGCUAACUACGUG